GAUGAACGCUGGCGGCGUGCCUAAUACAUGCAAGUCGAGCGAACAGACGAGGAGCUUGCUCCUUUGACGUUAGCGGCGGACGGGUGAGUAACACGUGGGUAACCUACCUAUAAGACUGGGAUAACUUCGGGAAACCGGAGCUAAUACCGGAUAAUAUUUCGAACCGCAUGGUUCGAUAGUGAAAGAUGGCUUUGCUAUCACUUAUAGAUGGACCUGCGCCGUAUUAGCUAGUUGGUAAGGUAACGGCUUACCAAGGCAACGAUACGUAGCCGACCUGAGAGGGUGAUCGGCCACACUGGAACUGAGACACGGUCCAGACUCCUACGGGAGGCAGCAGUAGGGAAUCUUCCGCAAUGGGCGAAAGCCUGACGGAGCAACGCCGCGUGAGUGAUGAAGGUCUUCGGAUCGUAAAACUCUGUUAUUAGGGAAGAACAAACGUGUAAGUAACUGUGCACGUCUUGACGGUACCUAAUCAGAAAGCCACGGCUAACUACGUGCCAGCAGCCGCGGUAAUACGUAGGUGGCAAGCGUUAUCCGGAAUUAUUGGGCGUAAAGCGCGCGUAGGCGGUUUUUUAAGUCUGAUGUGAAAGCCCACGGCUCAACCGUGGAGGGUCAUUGGAAACUGGAAAACUUGAGUGCAGAAGAGGAAAGUGGAAUUCCAUGUGUAGCGGUGAAAUGCGCAGAGAUAUGGAGGAACACCAGUGGCGAAGGCGACUUUCUGGUCUGUAACUGACGCUGAUGUGCGUAAGCGUGGGGAUCAAACAGGAUUAGAUACCCUGGUAGUCCACGCCGUAAACGAUGAGUGCUAAGUGUUAGGGGGUUUCCGCCCCUUAGUGCUGCAGCUAACGCAUUAAGCACUCCGCCUGGGGAGUACGACCGCAAGGUUGAAACUCAAAGGAAUUGACGGGGACCCGCACACGCGGUGGAGCAUGUGGUUUAAUUCGAAGCAACGCGAAGAACCUUACCAAAUCUUGACAUCCUUUGACCCUUCUAGAGAUAGAAGUUUCCCCUUCGGGGGACAAAGUGACAGGUGGUGCAUGGUUGUCGUCAGCUCGUGUCGUGAGAUGUUGGGUUAAGUCCCGCAACGAGCGCAACCCUUAAGCUUAGUUGCCAUCAUUAAGUUGGGCACUCUAAGUUGACUGCCGGUGACAAACCGGAGGAAGGUGGGGAUGACGUCAAAUCAUCAUGCCCCUUAUGAUUUGGGCUACACACGUGCUACAAUGGACAAUACAAAGGGCAGCGAAACCGCGAGGUCAAGCAAAUCCCAUAAAGUUGUUCUCAGUUCGGAUUGUAGUCUGCAACUCGACUACAUGAAGCUGGAAUCGCUAGUAAUCGUAGAUCAGCAUGCUACGGUGAAUACGUUCCCGGGUCU
This 1372-nucleotide ribosomal RNA is filed under the name uncultured bacterium. Its description in RNAcentral is "bacterial SSU rRNA". It matches the Rfam family "Bacterial small subunit ribosomal RNA", at positions 28 to 1381 of the family's 1533-position model. The record is from RNAcentral.